GUCGAGCGAGAAGACGUAGCAAUACGUUUGUAAAGCGGCGAACGGGUGAGGAAUACAUGGGUAACCUACCCUCGAGUGGGGAAUAACUAGCCGAAAGGUUAGCUAAUACCGCAUACGACUCUCGGUCUGCGGAUCGAGAGGGAAAGCGAUACCGUGGGUAUCGCGCUCAUGGAUGGGCUCAUGUCCUAUCAGCUUGUUGGUGAGGUAACGGCUCACCAAGGCUUCGACGGGUAGCUGGUCUGAGAGGACGAUUAGCCACACUGGCACUGCGACACGGGCCAGACUCCUACGGGAGGCAGCAGUAAGGAAUAUUGCGCAAUGGGCGACAGCCUGACGCAGCGACGCCGCGUGGGGGAUGAAGGUCUUCGGAUUGUAAACCCCUUUCGGCAGGGAAGAUGGAACGGGUAACCGUUCGAACGGUACCUGCAGAAGCAGCCACGGCUAACUUCGUGCCAGCAGCCGCGGUAAUACGAAGGUGGCAAGCGUUGUUCGGAUUUACUGGGCGUACAGGGAGCGUAGGCGGUUGGGUAAGCCUUUCGUGAAAUCUCCGGGCCUAACCCGGAAAGUGCGGAGGGGACUGCUCGGCUAGAGGAUGGGAGAGGAGCGCGGAAUUCCCGGUGUAGCGGUGAAAUGCGUAGAGAUCGGGAGGAAGGCCGGUGGCGAAGGCGGCGCUCUGGAACAUAUCUGACGCUGAGGCUCG
RNAcentral lists this ribosomal RNA (700 nucleotides) under uncultured Nitrospira sp. RNAcentral describes it as "bacterial SSU rRNA". It matches the Rfam family "Bacterial small subunit ribosomal RNA", at positions 61 to 755 of the family's 1533-position model. The record is from RNAcentral. Lineage: Bacteria; Pseudomonadati; Nitrospirota; Nitrospiria; Nitrospirales; Nitrospiraceae.